CCCUUCGAUGUUCUGGGCCGCACACGCGCUACACUGAAGGAGGCAGCGUGUACUCCUGGAUCGAAAGAUUUGGGUAACCCGCGAAUCUCCUUCGUGCUAGGGAUUGAGGUUUGCAAUUAUCCUUCAUGAACGAGGAAUUCCCAGUAAGUGCAAGUCAUAAGCUUGCGCUGACUACGUCCCUGCCCUUUGUACACACCGCCCGUCGCUACUACCGAUUGAAUGAUUUAGUGAGGACUUCGGACUGGGACCGAUGCGGCUUUCGGGCUGCGUCGGUAUUCUGGAAAGAUGUCCAAACUGUAUCAUUUAGAGGAAGUAAAAGUCGUAACA
RNAcentral lists this ribosomal RNA (327 nucleotides) under uncultured eukaryote. Its description in RNAcentral is "partial 18S ribosomal RNA". It matches the Rfam family "Eukaryotic small subunit ribosomal RNA", at positions 1470 to 1796 of the family's 1831-position model. The record is from RNAcentral.